CCUAAUACAUGCAAGUCGAACGAGAACCCUUAAAUNCGUCUGGGGGGGAGAGUGGCGAACUGGUGAGUAACACGUGGGUGACCUGCCCCGAAGACGGGGAUAGGCGGGGGAAACGACGGCUAAUACCCGAUAUACUCGGUGAUUCGGUUCAUCGAGUAAAGGCUCCGGUGCUUCGGGAUGGGCCUGCGGNCUAUCAGCUAGUUGGUGGGGUAAUGGCCCACCAAGGCGAAGACGGGUAGGGGGCGUGAGAGCGCGGNCCCCCACACUGGCACUGAGAUACGGGCCAGACUUCGACGGAAGGCAGCAGUCGGGGAUAUUGCACAAUCGGCGAAAGCCGGAUGCAGCGACUCCGCGUGGGCGAUGAAGGCCUUCGGGUUGUAAAGCCCUUUUAUGGGGGAAGAGACAAGGACGGUACCCCAAGAAUAAGCGUCGGCUAACUACGUGCCAGCAGCCGCGGUAAAACGUAAGACGCAAGCGUUAUCCGGAUUUACUGGGCGUAAAGAGCGUUGAGGCGGUUCCGUAAGUUGGGCGUGAAAGCCCCGGGCUUAACCCGGGGAGGUCGUUCAAUACUGCGGGACUUGAGGGCAGCAGAGGGAGGCGGAAUUCCCGGUGUAGCGGUGAAAUGCGUAAAUAUCGGGAGGAACAACAGUGGCGAAGGCGGGCUCCUGGGCUGUUUCUGACGCUGAAGGCGAAAGCUAGGGGAGCGAA
RNAcentral lists this ribosomal RNA (708 nucleotides) under uncultured organism. Its description in RNAcentral is "bacterial SSU rRNA". It matches the Rfam family "Bacterial small subunit ribosomal RNA", at positions 47 to 772 of the family's 1533-position model. The record is from RNAcentral.